RNAcentral lists this ribosomal RNA (429 nucleotides) under uncultured bacterium. RNAcentral describes it as "bacterial SSU rRNA". It matches the Rfam family "Bacterial small subunit ribosomal RNA", at positions 355 to 776 of the family's 1533-position model. The record is from RNAcentral.
UAGGGAAUUUUGCGCAAUGGGCGAAAGCCUGACGCAGCAACUCCGCGUGAUGGAUGAAGGCCUUCGGGUUGUAAACAUCUGUUGGGUGGGAAGAACAUCUUUCGGGCUAAUCACCGGAAGACUGACGGUACCACCUGAGGAAGCUCCGGCUAACUACGUGCCAGCAGCCGCGGUAAUACGUAGGGAGCAAGCGUUGUUCGGAAUCACUGGGCGUAAAGCGAGUGUAGGCGGGAAGGUAAGUUAGGAGUGAAAGGCGUGGGCUCAACCCGCGACCUGCUUUUAAUACUGCUUUUCUUGAGUAUGGGAGAGGUAGACGGAAUUCCAGGUGUAGCGGUGGAAUGCGUAGAUAUCUGGAAGAACACCAGUUGCGAAGGCGGUCUACUGGCCCAAUACUGACGCUGAGGCUCGAAAGUUAGGGGAGCAAACAGG